This 254-nucleotide ribosomal RNA is filed under the name uncultured bacterium. Its description in RNAcentral is "partial 16S ribosomal RNA". It matches the Rfam family "Bacterial small subunit ribosomal RNA", at positions 524 to 776 of the family's 1533-position model. The record is from RNAcentral.
UACAGAGGGUGCAAGCGUUAAUCGGAAUUACUGGGCGUAAAGCGUGCGUAGACGGUUACAUAAGUCGGGUGUGAAAGCCCCGGGCUCAACCUGGGAAUUGCAUUCGAGACUGCGUAGCUAGGGUGCGGAAGAGGGAAGCGGAAUUUCCGGUGUAGCGGUGAAAUGCGUAGAUAUCUGGAGGAACACCGGUGGCGAAGGCGGCAUCCUGGACCAACACUGACGCUGAGUGAGCGAAAGCCAGGGGAGCAAACGGG